This 1084-nucleotide ribosomal RNA is filed under the name uncultured Longilinea sp. RNAcentral describes it as "bacterial SSU rRNA". It matches the Rfam family "Bacterial small subunit ribosomal RNA", at positions 109 to 1218 of the family's 1533-position model. The record is from RNAcentral. Lineage: Bacteria; Bacillati; Chloroflexota; Anaerolineae; Anaerolineales; Anaerolineaceae.
AGUAACACGUGGUUGACCUACCCCAAAGUAAGGGAUAACUGGUUCGAAAGGACUGCUAAUACCUUAUAAGCUCCCGGUGUUUAGAAAACUGGGAGAAAAGUUCCGGCGCUUUGGGCGGGGACUGCGGACCAUCAGCUAGUUGGUGUGGUAACGGCACACCAAGGCGACGACGGAUAGGGGACCUGAGAGGGUGGCCCCCCACACUGGAACUGAGACACGGUCCAGACUCCUACGGGAGGCAGCAGUGAGGAAUAUUGCACAAUGGGCGCAAGCCUGAUGCAGCGACGCCGCGUGGGUGAUGAAGGUUUUCGGAUCGUAAAGCCCUUUUCUAGAUGACGAGUAAGGACGGUAGUCUAGGAAUAAGUGUCGGCUAACUACGUGCCAGCAGCCUCGGUAAAACGUAGGACACAAGCGUUAUCCGGAGUUACUGGGGCGUAAAGGGCGUGUAGGCGGACCUGUAAGUCUAUUCUGAAAGCUCCUGGCUAAACUGGGAGAGGCGAAUGGAGACUGCCCAUCUAGAGUGAGGAAGAAGAAAGUGGAAUUCCGCGUGUAGUGGUGAAAUGCGUAGAGAUGCGGAGGAACACCAGUGGCGAAAGCGACUUUCUGGUCCUUAACUGACGCUGAUGCGCGAAAGCAUGGGGAGCGAACGGGAUUAGAAACCCCGGUAGUCCAUGCCAUAAACGAUGUUCACUAAACGUUCGUUUCCCGCGAGGGAAGCGGGUGUUGAAGCCAACGCAGUAAGUGAACCGCCUGGGGAGUACGGUCGCAAGGCUAAAACUCAAAGGAAUUGACGGGGGACCGCACAAGCAGCGGAGCGUGUGGUUUAAUUCGAGGCUACACGAAGAACCUUACCUGGGUUUGACAUCGUGUUGAAGUGCCCAUGAAAGUGGGUAUGCCUCGCAAGAGGCAAUACGACAGGUGCUGCAUGGCUGUCGUCAGCUCGUGCCGUGAGGUGUUCGGUUAAGUCCGCAAACGAGCGCAACCCUCGGUGCCAGUUACAAGUGUCUGGCGCGACUGCCCGUGGCAAACGGGAGGAAGGUGGGGAUGACGUCAAGUCAGCAUGGCCUUUAUAUCCAGGGCUACA